Molecule: long non-coding RNA, 558 nt
Filed under: Carica papaya (papaya)
Lineage: Eukaryota; Viridiplantae; Streptophyta; Magnoliopsida; Brassicales; Caricaceae
Description: long non-coding RNA (CPAP_LNC001324)
Source: RNAcentral
UAAUUUUACCUUCGACACACAGUCCCCACUUAUCGGAGUCACCACGUGACAUCACAUGUAUCAUCACACGCGUGUCACUGGAAUCACUACGUGCUGCUACACGCACCAUUGUUGGGAUCGCCACAUGCCGCCACACUUUGGCUAAAACUUGUCGCAGACAACAAUGAGCUCAGAUCUAGAAUAAAUCUACACCAAAAUCAUUGCAUGUGCGGUUCCUUCUCUCCCCGAACAAGUUCAACGCUCUCGGGUUCUCAUUAUGUCAAACUGCCGCAUCAAUUUUCUUUUUCCAUAGCACGUAAGUUUCCUCCUUCAAUCGUUUGUGUAUACAUGUGUCCUCACACAGAUCUGAUAGGAAGAAGCGUCGCAGAUCCAAUGUCCCUCCAUCGUGCUACGCUUCUUUAUUCUCUUUCUUCCUUUUAUUCUUCUUCCUUCUUCUUCUAACUCUCCCUCUCUCCUUCACUCCCCCAUCCUUUUUGCUAGGGCUCUUUUCUUUUUUUUUCCUAGCUUGGGCCUAGGUUUUCUCUUCUCCCUUAGGCCUUGCUAUUAUAUAUUAUCCAU